Molecule: ribosomal RNA, 277 nt
Filed under: uncultured bacterium
Lineage: Bacteria
Description: partial 16S ribosomal RNA
Rfam family: Bacterial small subunit ribosomal RNA
Source: RNAcentral
CUCGCGGCCUAUCAGCUUGUUGGUGGGGUGAUGGCCUACCAAGGCGGUGACGGGUAGCCGGCCUGAGAGGGUGGACGGUCACACUGGGACUGAGACACGGCCCAGACUCCUACGGGAGGCAGCAGUGGGGAAUAUUGCACAAUGGGCGCAAGCCUGAUGCAGCGACGCCGCGUGAGGGAUGGAGGCCUUCGGGUUGUACGACCUUCUUCCGCAGUAGAGCGACGCUGCCCUUGUGGGUGGGUUGACGGUAGCUGGAUAAGAAGCGCCGGCUAACUAC